AUUGAACGCUGGCGGCAGGCCUAACACAUGCAAGUCGAGCGGAUGAAGGGAGCUUGCUCCUGGAUUCAGCGGCGGACGGGUGAGUAAUGCCUAGGAAUCUGCCUGGUAGUGGGGGAUAACGUCCGGAAACGGGCGCUAAUACCGCAUACGUCCUGAGGGAGAAAGUGGGGGAUCUUCGGACCUCACGCUAUCAGAUGAGCCUAGGUCGGGUUAGCUAGUUGGUGGGGUAAACGCCUACCAAGGCGAGUAUUCGUAACUGGUCUGAGAGGCUGAUCAGUCACCCUGGAACUGAACCGCGCUCAAGGCGCCUACGGGAGGGAGCAGUCGGGAAUAUUGGGCAAUGGGCGAAAGCCUGGUCCAGCCAUGCCGAGUGUGUGAAGAAGGUCUUCGGAUUGUAAAGCAGUUUAAGUUGGGAGGAAGCGCAGUAAGUUAAUACCUUGCUGUUUUGACGUUACCAACAGAAGAAGCACCGGCUAACUUCGUG
Molecule: ribosomal RNA, 484 nt
Filed under: uncultured bacterium
Lineage: Bacteria
Description: partial 16S ribosomal RNA
Rfam family: Bacterial small subunit ribosomal RNA
Source: RNAcentral